RNAcentral lists this ribosomal RNA (119 nucleotides) under Vigna radiata var. radiata (mung bean). Lineage: Eukaryota; Viridiplantae; Streptophyta; Magnoliopsida; Fabales; Fabaceae. The record is from RNAcentral.
AGGUGCUUUCAUACCAGCACUAAUGCACUGGAUCCCAUCAGAACAACGCAGUUAAGCGUGCUUGAACGAGAGUAGUACUAGGAUGGGUUACCUCCUUGGAAGUCCUCGUGAUGCACCUC